CCUACGGGGGGCAGCAGUGAGGAAUAUUGGUCAAUGGUCGGGAGACUGAACCAGCCAAGCCGCGUGAGGGAUGAAGGUACAGAGUAUCGUAAACCUCUUUUGUCAGGGAACAAAGGCGGGGACGUGUCCCCGGCUGAGUGUACCUGAAGAACAAGCAUCGGCUAACUCCGUGCCAGCAGCCGCGGUAAUACGGAGGAUGCGAGCGUUAUCCGGAUUUAUUGGGUUUAAAGGGUGCGCAGGCGGUCUGUUAAGUCAGCGGUCAAAGCCCGGGGCUCAACCCCGGCCCGCCGUUGAAACUGGCAGUCUCGAGUUGGAGAGAAGUAUGCGGAAUGCGCGGUGUAGCGGUGAAAUGCAUAGAUAUCGCGCAGAACUCCGAUUGCGAAGGCAGCAUGCCGGCUCCACACUGACGCUGAGGCACGAAAGCGUGGGUAUCGAACAGGAUUAGAUACCCCAGUAGUC
Molecule: ribosomal RNA, 459 nt
Filed under: uncultured bacterium
Lineage: Bacteria
Description: partial 16S ribosomal RNA
Rfam family: Bacterial small subunit ribosomal RNA
Source: RNAcentral